Molecule: ribosomal RNA, 253 nt
Filed under: uncultured bacterium
Lineage: Bacteria
Also listed under: 1 other name
Description: partial 16S ribosomal RNA
Rfam family: Bacterial small subunit ribosomal RNA
Source: RNAcentral
UACGUAGGGGGCAAGCGUUAUCCGGAUUUACUGGGUGUAAAGGGAGUGUAGGUGGCAUGGCAAGUCAGAAGUGAAAGCCCGGGGCUCAACCCCGGGACUGCUUUUGAAACUGCCAAGCUAGAGUGCAGGAGAGGUAAGUGGAAUUCCUAGUGUAGCGGUGAAAUGCGUAGAUAUUAGGAGGAACACCAGUGGCGAAGGCGACUUACUGGACUGUAACUGACACUGAGGCUCGAAAGCGUGGGGAGCAAACAGG